Molecule: long non-coding RNA, 888 nt
Organism: Panicum virgatum (switchgrass)
Lineage: Eukaryota; Viridiplantae; Streptophyta; Magnoliopsida; Poales; Poaceae
Exons: 2
Source: RefSeq, a predicted model, not a curated record
GCUAGCUCCUCCUCUAUGUAAGGCACUGUGCGAGCUUCAAUUCGGCGCUGCCGGCCAUCCUAUAUGUACCCCAUGGAUGGACGCCGGCCAUCGUUCGCUCUCUCCUCGCUCGCUCGCUCUGUACAGUUCAAUGAUCGAUCCGGCCGGUCUGCAUCCAUCUCGAUCGCCUAGAUAGCUCGCUACGAUCCAACAAGUUCAGAGAAAGAAAGGCCUAUUAAAGGAGCCCCUGCCUUCCUCCCGUCCUGCCCUCCCCCUCCUUUCGUCUCCUCUCCCAUGAAACCAAAGGGGUGGGUGCCUUCCUUCCUUCUCCACUGUUGUUCCUCUCGCUUAUUAUCAUCAGCGAGCUGUCCUCGACCUCGAGCGUGCUAGCAGUUUCAUUCCCAGUGUCGUCGUUCUUCCUCCUUAAUUUGCUUUGGUUGCCGUUGCUCUCUGACGACGACGUGAAAACUACUUCAUCAGUACAACUAGAGUUCGAUCGAGUUUUGCGGCUCACCCACUGUAGCAGAUGAUUUUGAGGACCAGCAUAGAGGCAGUUCUCUACUUCUCUUGACGAACCAAAUGAGGAGCGAAAGAUAGUAGAGGCAAAAAGAAGAAUGCAUCUUGCCAUCGUUUAUGCCAGCUUCAGCGCUGGCAUUUCCUGCAAACUCGAAAGCUGAUCAUGAACAUGCCCAAGGAAGACCGACCGAUCUACUACUACUACUACUACAUUGCAACUGUGGUUCUGGCUUCAGUGCUUGUAUAGCCUGUGAUAAAGAGCUUACCUUGAAAGGGUGCUUGCAGUCUGCAUGCAGAAAGAGCAUCUCGAAAAGACAGUUGGAGCAAGCUUUCACAUGUUUCUGCAUUCUGCUUUCCCUUGUCUUCAUUUUCCACACAGAAAAAAAAAACAUU